AUUUCUACAUUUCCAAAUACGCCACAAACCACACACCUCACCGCAAAAAGCUUAUCCGCCUCCACCUCAACACUAUAUUUUUGACAUAACCAAUUUCCAACAUUCCAAGAAAUCCUCACCCUUUACCGAAACCACAUCCAACUGUAAUGGUGAACCUAACUAAAAAAUUCUAGCAAAAGAGCAUUUGAGAAGAGAUGUACCUGUGUCUCCACAUCCUCUCCACAUUGUGGACAACAAGUCUCCUACCGAACACCCCAGCGUUGUAGAUUAGUACGAACCACCAAUAUAUUUUUACAACCCCUCCAAAUGAAAUGCCGAAGCUUUGGAGGAACUUGCAACUGCCACACAUCCAACCAAGUAGGAUCCUUAAUAUGACCCUCACUCGAUUGACCCGUCCCUUUACGUCCCAGCUCACCAUUUCUCUCCAUCUCCUGAGCCACCUUAUAACCCGAUUUGACCGAGUACAAUACACACAUUUCCGUGUAUAAUGCCAGAUAAUUCGAUCCAGGCACCCAAACAUACUAAGCGGCAAGCUUAAAUAAUACGGGCUUCCUCAUUAUUGAAACACCCUUCAACCACAUCCCUCUUCCAUUGAUCGUCAGGAGUUACUAGCUCUGUGUUGAUUAUUGACUCAAACAUGUAGUCAAAGUCCAAUUCUUUGGGCUACUUUGUGGUAAUGGGAGGCAAACAACAUUUGUGCCUAAUUUGUGCCUAAUUUGUGCCUAACUCUUUUGACUUGAUGGUAGGCCUUUGGCCAUUGAUGUCUUUGAGAAGCCUUUCUUUGGCUAUAAAAGGAGAGCAAGGUGCAGCUCAUAAGCACGGAGGAGAGACAAGAGGAGAACAAGGAAGAGAGAAAAAUAGUAAGCAGCCAUUCGGCAUAGAGAAGAAUUUUCUCAAAUUGUCUUGCUUUGUAUUUUUGGUUUUCUCUUCCUAUUGUAAGUGUGAGAGCUUGGGUUAUUCGGGUCUUUGGGAAAUUGAGUGAUAAACACUAUUGUAUGUUCUCAUUGAUUAUAGUGGAAUACUCCGUCGUCUUCAAACUGGAUGUAGGCAUUGCCGAACCAGUAUAAAUCUUGGUGUUCUUGUUGGUGUUGUUUUUAUUCUGUUCUGUCUUACUAUUCACUUACAGUCGAAUGCCGCUUCCGCACAACACUCUGCAACCAACUGUGGCAUCUCAGAUGCCCACGAAGUAGAUAGGAAUGUACAUGGAAUUGGUAACCAUGGGUCAUUCUGAAUCCGUAUACACCCUUCAUCUCCAACCCACCAUCGUAUGAGAAUUCUCCGACCCUGCAAAAUACCCUUCCACCCCCAAGAAGUUCCCCUUCCCACCGAUGCAUCCAGGAAAGUAGAGAAAGGGUAAUAUUUUGCUUAAAGAAUCUUAGCCAACAUAGAGUCCGGAUUACAGAUAAUCCACCACCCAACCUUUGCAAGCAUGGCUAAGUUAAAAGAAAUAAUUUCCUUAAAUCCAAGACCACCGACAAUAUUACAUUUCGUCAAUUUACUCCAAACCAUCCAAUGAACCCCCUUAUGUGUUUUCUUACUUGCUCAAUUUCCUUAGCCAACCAAAUAGGUAGUUAAAAACAAGGCAUAGUGUAAUUAGGCAAAGCAGUGGCUACACUUUUAAGAAUGACCUCUUUCCCAGCAACCGAUAGAAAACUACUCCGCCCACCCAUUAAUUCUCUCCUCCAGCCUAUUCCAUAUGUCUUCAAACACCUUCUUCUUAAAACCUCCAAAAUCCGCUUGGAGACCUAAGUACUUACCAAAGUUCUCCUGGUAUUUAAUCCCCACCACUUCUGACAACCGGUUCCUCAAAGGUUGUGGACAACUAGAUGGUAACACAUUUAUACUUUAGAGAUCCUUACUGUUUUUUACUAUAUCUAAAUUUCAAAGUAUAAAGUAAUUAUCAAACACUAACUUAACUUAAAUUCUUAGCAAAGAUCGAUCAUUUGUUUUAGGGGUGUGAUAUCCACACACCAUUUUUUACUUCUCUCACACCUUUUUGGUUUUCAGCUGUUGGAUCGGAUGAAUUGAAGAAAAUCAACGGACAUAAAUCAACAAGGGGUGUGUGAGAAGUAAAAAGGGGUGUGUGGACAGCACACCCCUUGUUUUAUUGACACUCUAUUUGUACUAUUAUUACAGAAAAGUUUAGCUGAGUUCAAAUUUCAUAGAUAAUAAUUGUUGAAUAAAAAAUAAAAAAUAAAAGCUUCAAAGAUGUUGUUCAAAACAUAAGUACAGUAUCAAUGUUUAAAAUAGAAACUUAAGGAUCUUAUUUCUUAUCAUUCAUGUACACCACUCAAAUUUAAUUCCCUCAACUUAUUAUGAGUUCUUUCAUUUUAUUUAUUUAUAAUAGUCCCAUCUUUCAAUCUAAAAGUUUCUUUGCAGAACAAAGUGGUCGCUACACUUUUAAGGACCUCUUUCCCAGUAACCGAUAGAAAACUGCUCCGUCCACCCAUUAAUUCUCUCCUCCAGCCUAUUCCAUAUGUCCUCAAACACCUUCUUCUUAAAAACUCCAAAAUCCGCUUGGAGACCUAAGUAUUUACCAAAUUCUCCUGGUAUUUAAUCCCCAACACUUCUGACAAUCGGUUCCUCAAAGGUUGUGGACAACUAGAUGGUAACACAUUUAUACUUUAGAGAUCCUUACUGUUUUUUACUGUAUCUAAAUUUCAAAGUAUAAAGUAAUUAUCAAACACUAACUUAUCUUAAAUUCUUAGCAAAGAUCGAUCAUUUGUUUUAUUGACACUCUAUUUGUACUAUUAUUACGGAAAAGUUUAGCUGAGUUCAAAUUUUAUAGAUAAUAAUUUUUUAAUCAAACAAAAAAAAAAAAAAAAAAAAAAGCUUCAAAGAUGUUCAAAACAUAAGUACAGUAUCAAUGUUUAAAAUAGAAACUUAAGGAUCUUAUUUCUUAUCAUUCAUGUACACCACUCAAAUUUAAUUCCCUCAACUUAUUAUGAGUUCUUUCAUUUUACUUAUUUAUAAUAGUCCCAUCUUUCAGUCUAAAAGUUUCUUUGCAGAGCAAAGUGGUCGCUACACUUUUAAGAAUGACCUCUUUCCCAGUAACCGAUAGAAAACUAUUCCGCCCACCCAUUAAUUCUCUCCUCCAGCCUAUUCCAUAUGUCUUCAAACACCUUCUUCUUAAAAACUCCAAAAUCCGCUUGGAGACCUAAGUAUUUACCAAAUUCUCCUGGUAUUUAAUCCCCAACACUUCUGACAACCGGUUCCUCAAAGGUUGUGGACAACUAGAUGGUAACACAUUUAUACUUUAGAGAUCCUUACUGUUUUUUACUAUAUCUAAAUUUCAAAGUAUAAAUUAUCAAACACUAACUUAACUUAAAUUCUUAGCAAAGAUCGAUCAUUUGUUUUAUUGACACUCUAUUUGUACUAUUAUUACAGAAAAGUUUAGCUGAGUUCAAAUUUUAUAGAUAAUAAUUUUUUAAUCAAAAAAAAAAAAAAAAAAAAGCUUCAAAGAUGUUGUUCAAAACAUAAGUACAGUAUCAAUGUUUAAAAUAGAAACUUAAGGAUCUUAUUUCUUAUCAUUCAUGUACACCACUCAAAUUUAAUUCCCUCAACUUAUUAUGAGUUCUUUCAUUUUAUUUAUUUAUAAUAGUCCCAUCUUUCAGUCUAAAAGUUUCUUUGGAGAACAAGGCGCAUUUGCAUCUACAAGUGGUCGUCUUUUACUAAAGGUUUUUUUUUAUUAGCAUCCCACUAAGUGUUGAAUAAACCUCACAUAAUAUUUUAUUAUUAAAUAACUUAUAUACCCUAAUAUGCAAUUACUAUUUAGGCCAUAUAUGUAUUAAAAAAUAAAAAUUAUUUUCUGAAUACACCCCAACUAUUUGUCAAUAUGUAUUCUAAGAUUGUUUUCUUUCAAGCUCUUGAAGAUACUCUCACCUCCAUUAUAAAACAAAACCCUAACUAAAAGCACAACAUAGUUAAUGAAAAAGAGAGGUUAAGUUUGACGAAUGAAACAUGAAAUCAAUGUUUUGGAGGCUUCGACGUUGUCCGUAGCUCUGUCACUUGGGUAUUGACUACAACAUCUGUAUCAUUUGUAACUUCGACAUUGAUUCCAACAUCUAUAUCAUCUGUAAGUUUGAAACUAAAAUGUCAUCUCCAACUUUUGUGUUAUUAGAAUUUAAAAAAAAAUGCAUGUGCUUAUAUAUUUCUUCAUAAAUACAUCUCUUGGCAUACAUUUUCCUUUGCAUGAAAAUCAUUUAAAAUCUCUAAUUGAUAUGCAAAGGGAACUUUUGGGUUGAGCUUUAGAUACCAGGCAUGAAUCGUAACAUUAAAAUUUCUUCUUUGAUCCUACAGUUGCCCAGAAAUAUUCAAACAUAAAAUAAGCAAGAAAGACAAUAUGGGCAUAUACUUCUUCUCAUAACGUGAUCCACAUAUUUGAGAAAUCUAUGACUAUCUUCUCCCCCAAAACUCUAGCAAGUUCUUUGCUGAAAAACAAAACAUAAAAAACUAUUUGAAUAAUUUAAUUAAGGAAGAGUUUGAUUGUAGGGUUUAAGUAGGGUGUGAGGUUUAUGCAGAGGGGUGUGGGGUGUAAGGGUAGUAUUGGAAAAUAAGUGGGGUGUAUUAAGAUAAAUUUUUAGUUAAAAAGUAGAUUUAGGGUGUAUUAAGUAUGUGGGGUGUUAAUAAAACAAGCCUUUACUAAGGGGUACAAAACUUUUUGUAUUUGGCUUCUUUUUUUUUUUUAACCUUUUGUUAUGAACAAAAGCUAUUGCUUUUUUUUUUUAACGAACAAUAUUAUCUACAUUAAAGAAAAGGAAUGUGAGUUUAUCCUCACAAUGGGCUAGCAAUAAUGUAAUUCAAAUUCGCCUUUGGCGAGAAUCGAAUCUAAGACCUCUCACUUACAAGUAAAGAGGAAUAUCAAUACAUCAUACUACUAAGUGGCACCAGAGUUAUUGAUUUUAGUUUGGAAAAACUUCAGUAAGUGAUUCUAUGAAUCCGUUUGAUAAUUUUUGGUUUUUAAUUUUUAAUCUUGGUGGUUGGGAGUUAGGGAGAGAAAGAAAAGAGUGGCGGAGAGAGGAGAAAUAAAGGACAAUUUGAUUAAAAAUAAAAUCUUAAAAGUGAAAAUAACUUAAAAUAAUUUUUAAUUUUCAUUUUGUGUUUCUUUUCUUGUGUUCUUAUACAUUUCUUGGACGUAUCUUUUACCAUCUUUUUUUCACUCAUAGCUAACAAAAAAAAUAAAAUCUGAAAAACUAAAAACAAAAAAAAAAUGAAAUGGUUAUGAAACAAAUCCCAAGACUUCAUGACUUAUUUUUUUGGGGAGUUUUAACGAAACACUUCCGGUACUAUUCACUUUUAACGAAAAAUGACAUUUUUACCUUUUCUGAUACUAUUCAUUUACACAUUUAUUUGUCUUUUUUCAUUAAAACUAAAGUUUGUAAAGAAUUUUCGUUAGUGUUUCUUUAUUUAUUUUUUGUUAGAAAACAAAUAUGAAUGGAUAUUGAACCAUGAAGCUCUUCUCAAGUCAACUAACAUAGUCCUUGUUGAAUCAUGACUUGUAUAAAUAAUAUUCCAUAGAUAUAUCAGUCCUUGAUUCCUGGGAUAGAUCACGACCAAAACAUCCAUGAAUAAUUGACAAAGUGGUCAUUUUCUGUGGGUAAAUUUCUAAGAGCAAGACAAUGUAAUUUUUGUGUGCGUGGAUAAAUUAAACAAUUGUCAGUUGUAAAUAACGCUAAUGUCCCAACUUUUCUUUUGGUUAAUUGUCCUAAGUUUUGUUCAUGGCAUCUUAUUAAGAAGGAAUGCAGCCUACUGCUUAACAGACAAAUCAAACAUACACGUCAAAGUGAAGAAAGAAACACAUUUGAAAUGUUCUUGUCUGGGUCCCUUAAUUAAUUAGUGUCGAACAGUUUCUUACAGAAAAAUAAAAAUGGUGGCCCUUUGGAAUCUAGCCCUCCAUGAUCUCGUAAAGUUUAUACACUCUAGCCUAUAAAGGGUUUCAAAUAGUGCAUAUGUUACAACUUCAUCACUAAAAAAAACUACCACGUCUGAUGUAAUGAUAGAGAUAGACGUAUGAAUGUAUACAAUCGGCCAUGCCUAAGAAUUUCUUAUCAUAAUUUUAGAGGUGUUAAUUAGCUGAUGAUCCAGUUGUUAUCCUCUUGAGGAUGAAGCUUAUUCAGAUUUUAGAAAAUUAAACUAAGACUAACAAAGUUAAGCAAACAAAAGAGUUGCCACCUUUAUCUGAUCAAUUUAUACCACAAUAUAAUUGCGUUUCUUUUGUAAGUGGUUGAAGACCUGGUCCAAUUACCGUCGCAUUGAACAAAAUAAAAAGAUAUGGAUCGCGAUCAACAAUACUUGUGCGGGUGUCAUGCAUGCAUACUGAGUACUUUGUGCUUUAAUAAAUUAAUGGAUAAUACUGAUAUAUUGGAGGUCUCAGCUGUUCAUACUAAGUAUUAACUACGUAUAGUUUGAUCUCUCAUUUGCAAACCCCAAAAAAUCAUCAGUGUGAUGACCUCAAACAAAAAAAAAAACACCAGAACAAACACUUUUAAUUAAGAGUAACAUACAACGGUAGCCAUGCACAAAGCAAAUCCCAAGCCCAGCUAGUUUAGGAGAUCAUGGAUUUGCAGGUAAAAUGGCAAUCUUAUUUUACAGUAAGUUCUAAAACCCAACUGAACAAUUCAACUUUCACAGUCCUUUUCUUAUUUAUAUAGACCCCAUGCAGGACAGCUCUUCAUGACUUUGACCUCGGCUUGCUUUGAUCAUUUGUUGCAGCCGCAUGAGCUGCAGCUGCAGUUUGAGCCACACUUGCAGUCAUUCUCUGCUCCAUAGUUCAUCUCAGACCCCUCAGAGAACCUGCAAUAAUAAUAAAAAUAAUCAGCCUUAUUCAAUUAAUCAAUCUAUUUUCAGCAUACAAUUCAUAAAAUUAAAGCAAUGGUUGAAGAGUUUAUCAAAGAGCAGUAUGGACAAAUAGAACUAGAGGGACACUAAGUAAACAACAUGGAGUACAUGCCGCAUAAUUCUAAACUAUUAUAAAAAAUGUGUAUCCGGUUUUAUUCUAGGUAUAUUUCUCUUGUAAAAACUUACGUCUUCACUGGUGCAACCCCAGCAAUGAUGGUAGUGGAAGUGGUCUCUGAGUAACCCAAGUCAGCGUGCAUCCCACAUCUACAUAUAUAAAAUGAUAUUAUUGGAAAAUACAAACAAAGUAAUUAAUUCCUAAUUAAGGCUAUUAGGAAUAAUAGAGAAUGAUGAUCAAUCAUAUAUACGGUUAGGGUUACACUGUUACAGUACUUGCAGCCACUGCCGCACUUGCAGUCACUACCACAGCUACAAUUGCUAGACAUGUUCUUCAAAAGUUGGUAUAAGGACAACGGAGAAGAUUGUUUUAGUGCUGGGAAUUGAAUUAACUCAAAGCCUGGGAUGAGUUUUCUUGUGAGGGUCUCAACCGCUAUUUAUAGUAGUGCAGGUGAAGGUGUACACGCCGAUCAAAUGUAGAUAUCUAUGCUGAUAAUAAAGUUUAUUGACAUUACAUUGUUAAGUCACCGUGAAUUUCUUGAUCACCAAAUGACCAAGAGAAUAUUUGUAUUAUAUUAUAAGUACAUACUUCUAUUUAAUUAUAUUUUUAUAUGAAUUCUUUAAUAUGAAACUCUAAUUCCUCGUAACAAGUAACAAUAUAUAGCAUAAUAACAAUCAGUCUCUAUGUGUAUGCAUCAGGUGACUUCUUUUCUUAUGAACCAGAGUUAUCGAUUUUAGUUGGCCAAAACGUAUUUUGAUGAAGCCAAGUUGUUGGAUAAAAAAAAAUGUAAAAAAUAAAAAAGAUGAAACCAAGUUAUCCUAAAUGAUUAGAUUCCAUGGCUUAAAAUUUUGUUGGAAAACAAAAAGGAGCUGAAACUCCCCUCAAGUCAUUGGGGCAAGGCUACAAUACUCUCGAAAUUAAAUACUCCGCCACUUAAAGCUCUUAGUUAAUCAUCAAUUUCUAUGAUAGAUGGACCAAACUUACAUGAAUUGCCAAAGUGGUCAUUUUCUGUAUGUAAAUUUCUAGAAGCAAAAUAAUGUUAAUUUUUUUAUUUUGGCCACUAUUAGUUGAAUAAAAUAAAAUGUACACAUCAAAGUGACAUAUUUGAAAUGUUCUCUCUUCUGGGUCCCUUAAUUAAUCUGUAUCAAAUAUUUUUCACAUAGACAAAUAAACUUGGUGGCCCCUCGGAAAUUGGGAAUCCAAACCACCAUGGAUUUAAUUGUUAUUUUAUACUCUAAUAUCUAGGAUGGUCGACGAUCGAUGCUAUCAAGGACAGUCUAAAGGGACUUCAAAUCAUUUUAUAUGAUGCAAUUUUGUCACAAAACCUUCCAACCAAUCAAAUUAAAGUUGAUAACGUGUUGCGGCAAGUUGUCUCACCAAAUUAUUGGCGCGAUUUGGCUAUUUUAUUGUUACCAAGAAGUGUUUUUUUGUUUUUGUUUUUUAAGUGAGAAAUAUGUUGAUUGUUUUUUUUUAACAUAAUAAUACUCUUAACACAUCACUAUUUAUGAAUCAUCACUUAAGUUAAACAUGUAAAAAAUUCAUAUUAUAAGACCCAUAAACAC
This 8514-nucleotide long non-coding RNA is filed under the name Malus domestica (apple). Its description in RNAcentral is "long non-coding RNA (MDOM_LNC010083)". Lineage: Eukaryota; Viridiplantae; Streptophyta; Magnoliopsida; Rosales; Rosaceae. The record is from RNAcentral.